Molecule: RNA transcript, 4029 nt
Organism: Microtus ochrogaster (prairie vole)
Lineage: Eukaryota; Metazoa; Chordata; Mammalia; Rodentia; Cricetidae
Source: RefSeq, a predicted model, not a curated record
CUCCGCCCCCAGAGGGGAGCUGGUCCACGUGGGACUGGCCGGCCUCCUCCCCACAGCCUCGCCCGGGUUAUCCUGUCUGUGCUGGCCACGCCGGGUGGUAGCGGGCGGGGACAGUGGGGGAGUCUGGCCCGGGCUCGCAGGUCGCCACGCUGGGACUCAGAGGCCCCAAGCAAGGUCGUUCCGAGUUUCUCCCACGCGGGCCCGGAUCAGCUGUGUGGCGACGCGGAAGAGCUCGUGUGCUGGGACCUGCCCUUGGCCGGACCCGAGCGGCUCCUGGCCCUCACGUGGCCGCCUCGCUCCCGCAGUCAUGCACUUGGGUGAAAACGGAAAGAUUCCGGAGUCACGAGGACAGGCUUGCGUUCCCAGUUGUGGCGCUGCGCUGAGGGAGAGCCGUGGGUGGGUAGUGACUCCGCUGCGGACCUGCGGUUUCAGAGCCCCGGCUGUGGUGCAGCGGGGAGGGAUGUUGCGUCGGACUCGAAUUCUGACUCUUAAUUGCUGCAGUGUGUGUCACCUUGAACAAAUAGGUCUCUCAGACCGAGUGCUCAAGAACGUGAAAUACUAGCAGUAUGAGAGGAGACGGGUGGACGGGUUAGGAUUGUGUAAAACCCAGCAAAGAUGCGUUUCCUGUCUGCUCAUCGGGGCUUGUGGCGGCAGGCAGUACUAAUUGAGCUAGCCAUGAGCAGAGUCCCCCAGCACCUUCCUUUCUCCAGCCAUCAGGGCCAAGAGUUCUUUCCAACUUCCUGCUGCAGGAGAAGCCAAGGAAAUCAGCUGCUGCCAGAGAAGUGGGGGCAGCAGUGUGAUACACGGCAUGAGUCUCACCUGAUUGGUCUGCACUGAAAUCACCACCUCCAGGCGCACUUUCACUAGCCCAGUGUCUCCUCCCACCAUCCUCAACACAGGCUGUGUAGCCCUUCCAACAGCUGUAGCGAGGUAACGCCCAGAUGUCUCAAAGCCUCCAAGCAGCAUCCUUCUCGGGAAUAACCAGAGCGGUGUCCCUCAGCUAGGUACUCUGCGGUUUCAAGCCCACUGUUCUUUGAAUCUCCCAACUCCACAUCCCAGGAAUCUACAUCCUGUGGUUUCACCCAGAUGACUGGCUCCUUCCACUCUCACUCCUGCCUCUUCCUCGAUUAUCUGGGUGCUAGGUGGCCCAAUUCUGUAGACAUGCCAUGGGCCAUUAUCAGUCAUCAUCAGUCCACUCUGUGUUGUGUAACCCGUGAUGAAGAGCUCCCAUCCUAAUCCUUACAUUCAUCCCCUGGGAUCCUCCUAUUCAAGUUUAACUUUACUAUUCAAGGUGUCUACUCUGCCAUCGGGUCUGGUUGAUCUGCUCUGUUUUCCCAUGUUUUUAUUUAGCUAUACCAGCAGAAUACUGCUGUGGACAUCUUCGCCCUGCAUCAGAGCAUAGGGAACUGAGCAGGGACUGGCAAAUUCAAGCUCAGGGCAAGACAAAAAGACCAGCAAGUGAGAUACCAAGGAAGGUCCAGGUUCGAAGGUUGAAGGCCCCGGGGUGACCACACCCAACCCCUUUUCACCUAGACUGGACUAUGAAUCACCAGUUUUACUUCCUCAGUGAAGUGCUGGCCUGCAGCCAUUCCAGAAAUCCUUCUCUAUGGUUGAGUCCCCUAGGGCAUCGGUCAGCCCCUCAGUGUCUGGCCGGUUGCAGUGACCUGCUUUCCUCCUCACGGAGUGGAAGAAGCAGCAGCCCUCAGCCAGCCCAGAAGUGUCAGCUUCUCUUCUCGCCCAGCCGGCUGCGCUGCACCUCGAGUCAGGUGCUGCCCAGGGCUCCAACUUCCUGGGAGGGAGAAGCAGAGCUGACAUUCUCACUAGAGAAAGGGUGGGCCUGCCCCUCCUUUGCUCAUGACCUGCUCAAAGGCAGCCAGCUGGAGUUUGCUACGGAGCUCGUGCUGGUGACUUUUUGAUCAUCCUAAGCCUUUGCUAAGUGCCAUCAACACGUUGACUUAAGUGGUAAAGGAUGCCGGGUUGAUGUGGGUUGUGGGGGUGGAGGAGAAGACGAACAGGAGGAGGAAGCAGAUGGAGAGAGGCGUGAGAAGAAAAGAACACAUGGAACCAGGCUCCUAGACUAGACUCUGGUUUCUCCUGCCCUUCCCGCACCGUCCUGUGUGGCCAGCCGCUCAUCUGUUGACACCUUAGCUGUUUCCCAGCCUCUGCACCCCACUGGAAUCAGCCUGCACAGUCUUCUAAGUCACUGUUUUCUAUCAUUGCCUAGGGGACACAAGCCAGUGGCUUUGUCUAGCCAGGGCUUUCCAUGACUGGGCCUCCUAUCCGUUGGCUUUAUUUUCCAUUGCUUCACAGGGGAAAAUGUCGACUGUGCCCAGCCUGGCUUGUCAUUGCCACCACUCCCUCAUGGAGCAGCCGUGCAUGGUUACUUAGCAAAAGGCAACCUUAGCAUUGUUUCAUCUUGGUGGUUUCUCCCGUAAUCAUUCACUGAGUACUGCCAUUCAUAAAACUGGAAAAAGGUUAACUUUCUCAGAAAUCUUACUGCUUCUCAGCCUUCCCCCUGGUUCCUUCCCUCUAGUAAUCUCGAACAACGGUGAAGCUACCUGAAUUCUGCAGGUGCGAACCCAAGGCUCAGAAGAGACUGGCUGCUCCCAAGCUGGAAGAAUCCUGGGCUAGAGAGUUGCAGGCUCAGCUCAGGACCUUUUCAGUCCACGGAUCAAGGUCAUCCCACUUUACCUGACUAAAGUGAAAACCAUAUGCGCUUGAGAGCAUGGGCCAUCCUCACUUUCUGUGUUUGGCAAACAGCGAGCACAUUAGUGUCUUCGUCUAUGCAAGCCACUGAAACAGGAUUCCACAGACCUGUGGUCUGUAAGCAACAGAAAUGUAUUGCUCACAGGAAGCUGGGAAGUUCAAGAGCAGGAUGCCCACAGAUUGGUGUCUAGCAAAGGGCCAUCCUCUGGUCUACUUUGUUCACAUGACAGAGCCCGAGGGAGCUCUUUGGGAGUCUCUUCUAAGAGCACUGAUCCUAUGCACCACGGUUCCACCCUGUGGUCUAAUCACCAACCUAAAGUCCCACUUCUUGAUGACACCACGUUUGGACUCAGGCUCAACACAUGACUUCUGAGGAGCAUAGUCUAUUGCAGAUGGGUUAUGACUACUCUCUCUCAAAAAAAAAAAAAAAAGAAGAAGAAGAAGAAAAAAGCAGCACUAGGAUCUCAUGUUUGCUGGACAAGUGCUGUACCGCUGAGCUACAUCCCCAAACCCACACAGGCAGCCUGGUAAGAAAUGAAAUAAAGAAAAUACCAGAGUGCAUUCAAUAUUGAGGCCCCUCACCACAGAAGACAGCUACAACUUUAGCAUGGAAUCAUGGGGAGACUGUUGUAAACAAAUAAACCUAGAAACAAGCAGAUGACGCUGUUUUAAUAGCUACAAAAUAGACUUCAUACUGAAACAAUGAGAAGACACAAAAGUCACUUCAUACUGAAGAAGGGAAUGACCUAUCAGGGACAUUACAACUGCUAAGCAGAAGUGCUCCGAACACAGGUGUGCCCAGUCUCCUGAAGUAGAUACCAUUAAUAAAGCUGGUGCUAGCACAAGGAAGAAGUGAUUCUGUGAAAAAUGUAAACAAAAUGUAGUAUCUUUUCUAUCAAAAGUUUAAUUAGGACAAAACUCCAUUAAAAUGCGUUUUAAAGAAGCAACAUGAAAAGAAAAAAAUAAAAAAAUAAAGAAGCAACAUGGCAGAAACACAAGUUCCUUCAGGGACAACGCUUCUUAGAACCCAAAGAUGUUCUCAAGGUAGCACUUUCUGCUUGGAAUUGCAUUCUGCUUGUUGGCUGCUUGUUGCUUUAAAACAGACAAAUUCAGGAAUGUGAGCCCAAGCUCACAGUGAGGGACAGGGCCCCUAUGCUUGAUUUGGCUAUGCACCCCUUGAAAGAAAGAAAUCUUUUUGCCUUGGAUUGUGAGAUCACUUUCUUGAGACCCCAGACCCAAUUCUUACAACUACAAAAUUCCAUGGAACUUUCUUCAAAAUGCCUCAUAUAUUUGUACUCACAGCAAGUCUUUUUUAUUAUUAUU